This 67-nucleotide transfer RNA is filed under the name Gammaproteobacteria bacterium. RNAcentral's name for it is "tRNA-Leu". It matches the Rfam family "tRNA", at positions 9 to 64 of the family's 71-position model. Rfam says of the family: Transfer RNA (tRNA) molecules are approximately 80 nucleotides in length. Their secondary structure includes four short double-helical elements and three loops (D, anti-codon, and T loops). Further hydrogen bonds mediate the characteristic L-shaped molecular structure. tRNAs have two regions of fundamental functional importance: the anti-codon, which is responsible for specific mRNA codon recognition, and the 3' end, to which the tRNAs corresponding amino acid is attached (by aminoacyl-tRNA synthetases). tRNAs cope with the degeneracy of the genetic code in two manners: having more than one tRNA (with a specific anti-codon) for a particular amino acid; and 'wobble' base-pairing, i.e. permitting non-standard base-pairing at the 3rd anti-codon position. The record is from RNAcentral. Lineage: Bacteria; Pseudomonadati; Pseudomonadota; Gammaproteobacteria.
GGCGGAAUUGGCAGACGCGCUGGAUUUAGGUUCCAGUGGGGUAACCCGUGAGAGUUCGAGUCUCUCC